RNAcentral lists this unclassified non-coding RNA (215 nucleotides) under Hevea brasiliensis (rubber tree). Lineage: Eukaryota; Viridiplantae; Streptophyta; Magnoliopsida; Malpighiales; Euphorbiaceae. The record is from RNAcentral.
CAGCUGCAUCAACGAUACCAUAAUUUCCACUUGGGGUUGGAGUUUGACUCGUCAAAAGCUGCUUACAGCUACAAUGGAUCAAUUAGCCAGACUGUCUCCAUUUCAUCAAUGGAUGUUGGAGUGGUGCCUGAUUCAACAAUGAGUGAGACAUCGAUCUUACACUCGAGACCUCCAAAAGGGACUAUUGACCUUUUCUCCAGUCCUCCCAUGCAGAU